This 254-nucleotide ribosomal RNA is filed under the name uncultured bacterium. RNAcentral describes it as "partial 16S ribosomal RNA". It matches the Rfam family "Bacterial small subunit ribosomal RNA", at positions 524 to 776 of the family's 1533-position model. The record is from RNAcentral.
UACGUAGGGGGCGAGCGUUGUCCGGAUUUAUUGGGCGUAAAGAGCUCGUAGGCGGUUCGGUAAGUCGGAUGUGAAAUCUCCACGCUCAACGUGGAGGGGCCAUUCGAUACUGCCGUGACUCGAGUCCGGUAGGGGAGUGUGGAAUUCCCGGUGUAGCGGUGAAAUGCGCAGAGAUCGGGAGGAACACCCGUAGCGAAGGCGGCACUCUGGGCCGGUACUGACGCUGAGGAGUGAAAGCGUGGGGAGCGAACAGG